GUGAAUCAUCAAAUUUUUGAACGCAAAUUGCACUCUCUUCGGAGAGUAUGCCUGUUUGAGGGUCAGCCUAAAAAAAAAUCGCAAUAUUCGCUGUUUCGCGUUUACAUUCGUCGGAAAUUGGGUAAUCUUAACCCUUUGGGUUUUAAGGGGCUUAAAUUUUUUUUUACGAUUCAACAACCGUUCUUAAGUUUUACUUUUUAUCCGUUUAAG
RNAcentral lists this unclassified non-coding RNA (210 nucleotides) under Glomus sp. RNAcentral describes it as "partial contains 5.8S ribosomal RNA and internal transcribed spacer 2". The stretch from base 1 to 65 matches the Rfam family "5.8S ribosomal RNA", at positions 84 to 154 of the family's 154-position model. Lineage: Eukaryota; Fungi; Glomeromycota; Glomeromycetes; Glomerales; Glomeraceae. The record is from RNAcentral.